UACGGAGGGUGCAAGCGUUAAUCGGAAUUACUGGGCGUAAAGGGUGCGUAGGUGGUUUGGUAAGUUAGGUGUGAAAGCCCUGGGCUUAACCUGGGAAUUGCGCCUAAAACUGACAAGCUAGAGUACUGUAGAGGAAGGUGGAAUUUCCGGUGUAGCGGUGAAAUGCGUAGAUAUCGGAAGGAACAUCAGUGGCGAAGGCGACUUUCUGGACAGAUACUGACACUGAGGCACGAAAGCGUGGGGAGCAAACAGG
This 253-nucleotide unclassified non-coding RNA is filed under the name uncultured Gammaproteobacteria bacterium. RNAcentral describes it as "contains 16S-23S intergenic spacer region". It matches the Rfam family "Bacterial small subunit ribosomal RNA", at positions 524 to 776 of the family's 1533-position model. Lineage: Bacteria; Pseudomonadati; Pseudomonadota; Gammaproteobacteria. The record is from RNAcentral.